This 253-nucleotide ribosomal RNA is filed under the name uncultured bacterium. RNAcentral's name for it is "partial 16S ribosomal RNA". It matches the Rfam family "Bacterial small subunit ribosomal RNA", at positions 524 to 776 of the family's 1533-position model. The record is from RNAcentral.
UACGGAGGGUGCUAGCGUUGUUCGGAAUCACUGGGCGUAAAGGGCGUGUAGGCGGUCUGUUAAGUCUGAUGUGAAAUCCCCUCGCUCAACGAGGGAACUGCGUCGGAUACUAGCAGACUUGAGUACCGGAGAGGAAGGUGGAAUUCCCGGUGUAGCGGUGAAAUGCGUAGAUAUUCGGAAGAACACCAGUGGCGAAGGCGACUCACUGGACAUGUAUUGACGCUGAGGUACGAAAGCGUGGGGAGCAAACAGG